Long non-coding RNA from Lagenorhynchus albirostris (white-beaked dolphin), 686 nucleotides. RefSeq lists it as uncharacterized. Lineage: Eukaryota; Metazoa; Chordata; Mammalia; Artiodactyla; Delphinidae. The record is from RefSeq and is a predicted model, not a curated record. The transcript is spliced from 4 exons.
CGCUUGCUUGUCUGGCUCAUCGCUCGCGCUCCUUCCUGUUUCUGACCGGCGUUGGGACAUCACCUCUCGCUGUCCCAACCCCCGUUGGCACCCACUCCAGUCAAGCCCCUCAACCCGAGAGUAAAUUCCUCAUCUCCAGAUCUUGUCUGCCAUUGAAAACCACGUUGUAUCGUGUCCUUGUAUGGGGGCAUCCUUGGUCGACUGCAGGAGGCUGAAGGUUCCAGGCUGUAUCCGGCCAUCCCCAAGACUGCAAGGUUUAAGACCUCGACACUACUGGGACCCCUGAGGAGUACACCGCUGAGAAGCUCUGCCUUACCAAGUUAAGAAGACAUCGCGCACAGGGUCGGAGAUGGCUGACAGCGUGGAUUAGUGAAACGGCAUGGUAUGUGUGCACGAGCACUGCGGGCUGCAAAUGGAGGCGGGGGAUCAUGUUUGAAGACAGUGAAAAACUGGGCGCUAGAGGAAGGUGAGUCUACCUUUGAAUUUGAACACCAUGCUAAGGAGUAUGGACUUGAGGCAAACAGGACCCAUAAAAAAGGGAGAAGAAUAAUUAAUAUACAAUCUGAAUGUCAGGGAGGAACGAGAGCCUAAAGACAGAGAAACCAGUUAGGGGAGUAUUCAUAUUGUCUGUUCCACCAUGAGGGCUACAAGUCUUUCUCUUGUUUGUUUAUGCAAAGCAAAACAGA